This 482-nucleotide ribosomal RNA is filed under the name uncultured bacterium. Its description in RNAcentral is "bacterial SSU rRNA". It matches the Rfam family "Bacterial small subunit ribosomal RNA", at positions 29 to 507 of the family's 1533-position model. The record is from RNAcentral.
AUGAACGCUAGCGGCAGGCUUAACACAUGCAAGUCGAGGGGCAUCGAGAGUAGCAAUACUUGUCGGCGACCGGCGCAAGGGUGCGUAACACGUGAGCAACAUACCCGUUUCAGGAGGAUAACCGGAGGAAACUCUGCCUAAUACUCCAUGACAUCAUCAAACGGCAUCGUUUGAUGAUUAAAGAUUUAUCGGAAACGGCUUGGCUCGCGGGACAUUAGCUCGUUGGUGAGGUAACGGCUCACCAAGGCGACGAUGUCUAGGGGUUCUGAGAGGAAGGUCCCCCACACUGGAACUGAGACACGGUCCAGACUCCUACGGGAGGCAGCAGUGAGGAAUAUUGGACAAUGGUCGGAAGACUGAUCCAGUCAUGCCGCGUGAAGGUUACUGUCCUAUGGAUAUUAAACUUCUUUUGUAUGAGAGCAAUAAGGUGCACGUGUGCACCGAUGAGAGUAUCAUACGAAUAAGCAUCGGCUAACUCCGUG